Molecule: ribosomal RNA, 497 nt
Filed under: uncultured bacterium
Lineage: Bacteria
Description: partial 16S ribosomal RNA
Rfam family: Bacterial small subunit ribosomal RNA
Source: RNAcentral
GAUGAACGCUGGCGGCGUGCCUAAUACAUGCCAGUCGAGCGAACAGACGAGGAGCUUGCUCCUCUGACGUUAGCGGCGGACGGGUGAGUAACACGUGGAUAACCUACCUAUAAUACUGGGAUAACUUCGGGAAACCGGAGCUAAUACCGGAUAAUAUAUUGAACCGCAUGGUUCAAUAGUGAAAGACGGUUUUGCUGUCACUUAUAGAUGGAUCCGCGCCGGAUUAGCUAGUUGGUAAGGUAACGGCUUACCAAGGCAACGAUGCGUAGCCGACCUGAGAGGGUGAUCGGCCACACUGGAACUGAGACACGGUCCAGACUCCUACGGGAGGCAGCAGUAGGGAAUCUUCCGCAAUGGGCGAAAGCUUGACGGAGCAACGCCGCGUGAGUGAUGAAGGUCUUCGGAUCGUAAAACUCUGUUAUUAGGGAAGAACAAAUGUGUAAGUAACUAUGCACGUCUUGACGGUACCUAAUCAGAAAGCCACGGCUAACUACGUG